GUUGGAAGCCUUCGUGGGAGA
This 21-nucleotide microRNA is filed under the name Physcomitrium patens. Its description in RNAcentral is "ppt-miR477g-3p". Its record names the gene ppt-miR477g-3p. The record is from miRBase by way of RNAcentral. Lineage: Eukaryota; Viridiplantae; Streptophyta; Bryopsida; Funariales; Funariaceae.